This 894-nucleotide ribosomal RNA is filed under the name Triticum aestivum (bread wheat). RNAcentral describes it as "partial small subunit ribosomal RNA". Lineage: Eukaryota; Viridiplantae; Streptophyta; Magnoliopsida; Poales; Poaceae. The record is from RNAcentral.
AUGCCAAUCCUCCGCAUUGGUACAUCCAUCUCGGUGGGCUCAGGCUCCUCGACCCUGUUUUGGUUUGACCGGUGGGUGGGGGAUCUUCCCCUCGCCGCCCGUUUCCCCGAACUAUUCUCCAUCGCGGCUGACCCUCGGGUCUCCGUGGAGGUGGCCCUUAUUGACUUAGGGCGCCUCGCUUUCCGUAGACCCUUUGGCCCCCUCGAGGUGGCUGCAUGGGAUGCUCUCCUUCAGGCCAUCGCUCUUCAGCCUCUAAACGUCGACAACGCGGAUGACUCCGUCUCAUGGCGCCUCAAGACUUCGGGGCGCUUCUCGACCAAGUCCCUUUAUCAAGCGAUUGCUCCUUCCACGGCCCCUGAGCCGUUUAGUCUGAUCUGGGACAUCCGCCUCCCCUUGAAGAUCAGGAUCUUCCUCUGGCAGUGGAUUCGAGGACGCUUGCCCUCAGGGGUUGAGGUGCGCAAGUGUAACGGGCCCGGUGACGGUCAGUGCCCCCUUUGUGACGUGGCGGAAGAUGCUAACCACAUCUUCUCAUGCGUCACCGCUCAGUUCUUGUGGUCCUGCUUCCGCGACGUUGUUGGUGGAACUUGGUGCAACACCAACUUCCCUGACUUGUUGGCGGAAAUCCAGGCCUCUGCCCCCUGGCACCGCCACAUUAGGUGUGUUGGGGUUCUCGCUUGGACGCUUUGGACCGUGCGCAGCAGGCUUGUCAUCCAGCGUGCCCCUCUUCGACGUGCGACUGACGCCAUCUUUAAAAUGUGUGGUUUCUUGCAGCUCUGGCGGCCGCUUAGCCGCUUCCAGGACCGGAACGCCAUCGACACCCUCAUCACCAACCUUCGAGCGAUGGCCUUCCACGUGGCGCCCCCGCUUCCGCCGCCUCCUCCAGAGCCAGACUAG